This 446-nucleotide ribosomal RNA is filed under the name uncultured Gracilibacteraceae bacterium. RNAcentral's name for it is "bacterial SSU rRNA". It matches the Rfam family "Bacterial small subunit ribosomal RNA", at positions 335 to 796 of the family's 1533-position model. Lineage: Bacteria; Bacillati; Bacillota; Clostridia; Eubacteriales; Gracilibacteraceae. The record is from RNAcentral.
UGCCUACGGGGGGCUGCAGUGGGGAAUAUUGCGCAAUGGGGGAAACCCUGACGCAGCAACGCCGCGUGGAGGAAGAAGGCCUUCGGGUUGUAAACUCCUGUCAUUUGGGACGAAAAAAAUGACGGUACCAAAUGAGGAAGCCACGGCUAACUACGUGCCAGCAGCCGCGGUAAUACGUAGGUGGCGAGCGUUGUCCGGAAUUAUUGGGCGUAAAGGGCGCGUAGGCGGCCUUGUAAGUCAGAUGUGAAACCCCCGGGCUUAACUUGGGGCAUGCAUUUGAAACUGCAGGGCUUGAGUGCAGGAGAGGUAAGUGGAAUUCCUAGUGUAGCGGUGAAAUGCGUAGAUAUUAGGAGGAACACCAGUGGCGAAGGCGACUUACUGGACUGUAACUGACGCUGAGGCGCGAAAGCGUGGGGAGCAAACAGGAUUAGAUACCCCAGUAGUCG